RNAcentral lists this unclassified non-coding RNA (260 nucleotides) under uncultured fungus. RNAcentral's name for it is "partial contains 5.8S ribosomal RNA, internal transcribed spacer 2, and large subunit ribosomal RNA". Lineage: Eukaryota; Fungi. The record is from RNAcentral.
AACGCACAUUGCGCCCGCCAGUAUUCUGACGGGCAUGCCUGUUCGAGCGUCAUUUACACCCCUCGGGCCCCUUCUGCGGCCCGGUGUUGGGGCGUUGCGCGGCACCCCCGCGCAAGCCCUGAAAUGCAGUGGCGGGCCGUCCCGCGUCUCCCUUGCGUAGUCACCAUACCUCGCUCUGGGACGUGGACGGUUUCCAGCCGUGAAACCCCCCCUUUCACAAGGUUGACCUCGGAUCAGGUAGGGAUACCCGCUGAACUUAA